AAGAGAAGUUUGAUGGAAGAUUUUUGUUGGCUUUUGGAAAAUUCAAGGCAAGAAUGUGUUUAUACAAUAAGAAUUAUGCAAGCUGUUGGUUAGCAUAUGAGUGUUGAUUAACAUUGGUACAAUUUGUAUUUUAAAAUUAGUGGUUGAAGAACUUCUUUCUAACGUGGAAGUUGCACUAUAAGUUUUAGUCUGAUAUUUGACAUGUAAAAAUUAUUAAAGUGAUUUAGCUUCAAUUGAAAUAUA
Molecule: long non-coding RNA, 243 nt
Filed under: Lathyrus oleraceus (garden pea)
Lineage: Eukaryota; Viridiplantae; Streptophyta; Magnoliopsida; Fabales; Fabaceae
Description: Pisum sativum (pea) long non-coding RNA (PSAT_LNC023035)
Source: RNAcentral